Molecule: ribosomal RNA, 406 nt
Filed under: uncultured bacterium
Lineage: Bacteria
Description: partial 16S ribosomal RNA
Rfam family: Bacterial small subunit ribosomal RNA
Source: RNAcentral
AUUGAACGCUGGCGGCAGGCCUAACACAUGCAAGUCGAACGAGUGGCGGACGGGUGGGUAAUGACUGGGAAACUGCCCGAGGGAGGGGGAUCACUACUGGAAACGGUAGCUCAUACCGCAUACCCUCGGAUGUGCCCAGAUGGGAUUAGCGAGUAGGUGGGGUAACGGCUCACCUAGGCGACGAUCCCUAGCUGGUCUGAGCGGAUGACCAGCCACACUGGAACUGAGACACGGUCCAGACUCCUACGGGAGGCAGCAGUGGGGAAUAUUGGACAAUGGGCGAAAGCCUGAUGCAGCCAUGCCGCGUGUAUGAAGAAGGCCUUCGGGUUGUAAAGUACUUUAAGCGGGGAGGCGUUACUCGCAGAAGAAGCACCGGCUAACUCCGUGCCAGCAGCCGCGGUAAUUC